This 660-nucleotide ribosomal RNA is filed under the name uncultured bacterium. RNAcentral describes it as "bacterial SSU rRNA". It matches the Rfam family "Bacterial small subunit ribosomal RNA", at positions 152 to 789 of the family's 1533-position model. The record is from RNAcentral.
CUAAAGGACUGCUAAUACCGAAUGUUGUAUAUUUUCCACAUGGAAUAUAUAUUAAAGAUGGCCUCUAUUUAUAAUCUAUCGCUCGAACAUGGGUCUGCGUCCGAUUAUCUGGUUGGUGGGGUAACCGCCUAGCUGAGCGACGAUCAUUAACCGGUCUGAGAGGACGAACGGCCACAUUGGGACUGACACACGGCCCAGACUCCUACGGCGAAGCUCAGAUGCGGAAUCUUCCACAAUGGACAACAAUCUGAUGGAACAGCGCCGCGUGACUGACGAAGGGUUUCAGAUCGUAAAGCUCUGAUGACGGCUACGAAUGUGCAGUAUUUGAAUACACUGCUGUAAUGACGGGACCUGACGAGGAAGCCACGGCUGACUACAUGCCAUCAGCCGCGGUAAUACUUAGGUGGAAAGCGUUGUCCGGAAUUAUUGUGCGUAAAUGGAGCUCAUGCGGGAAGGUAAGUCUGUCUUAAAAGUGCGGGGAUCAACCCCGGGAUCGAUCGAAACUAUCUUUCUUGAGUGCAAGAGAGGAAAGUGCAAUUCCUAUCGUAACGGUGACAUACGUAGAUAUUCGGAGGAACGCCAGUGGCAAAGGCUACUUUCUCGACUGUGACUGACGCUGAGGCUCUAAAUACUAGGUAGCGAACGUGACUACAUACCCCG